RNAcentral lists this ribosomal RNA (460 nucleotides) under uncultured bacterium. RNAcentral's name for it is "partial 16S ribosomal RNA". It matches the Rfam family "Bacterial small subunit ribosomal RNA", at positions 338 to 795 of the family's 1533-position model. The record is from RNAcentral.
CCUACGGGUGACAGCAGUGAGGAAUAUUGGUCAAUGGGCGGAAGCCUGAACCAGCCAAGUAGCGUGCAGGAUGACGGCCCUACGGGUUGUAAACUGCUUUUAUACGGGAAUAACGCGCCUUACGUGUAGGGCUUUGCAUGUACCGUAUGAAUAAGGACCGGCUAAUUCCGUGCCAGCAGCCGCGGUAAUACGGAAGGUCCGGGCGUUAUCCGGAUUUAUUGGGUUUAAAGGGAGCGUAGGCCGCAUGUCAAGCGUGCUGUGAAAUGUCCGGGCUCAACCCGGGCCUUGCAGCGCGAACUGGCGUGCUUGAGUCCGCGGAAAGCAGGCGGAAUUCGUCGUGUAGCGGUGAAAUGCUUAGAUAUGACGAAGAACCCCGAUUGCGAAGGCAGCUUGCUGCAGCGGAACUGACGCUGAGGCACGAAAGCGUGGGGAUCGAACAGGAUUAGAUACCCGUGUAGUC